ACACACACACACACUGACAAAGAAAAAAGAGGCAGAGAACCACUUCUCUGCAAUCUUUGGAAUAUCCACCAAAAUCAUAGAUAAAUUUCAGCACCUUCCUUCUCUUUUAUAUCUACAAAACAAGUCAGUAUGGUCUUAUUUUGAUUGUUUGUGACUUUAUGCAUCUGGGAUUUGCUGCUUCCAAUUUCUUCUUCCACUUGUACUUGUUUAGGUCUUGAUUCACUCAUAAAAGGUGUAAUGCUUUUAUGCAUAGAUAUUCAAGAUAGUCAAGCGUAUAUUACUGUUAUUAUCCGCAUGGAAUUCUUAUGUUAUUUUUAGUUAACUAUUCCCACUUCUUACUUUUCCCCCUGUAUUUUGCCCCAGAAAGAUUACUAUUUCUUGUUUGAACAUGAAUAUGUUGACCUUUUCUCGCAUAUUUUUACUAAGCUAUUAGCAUGUGUAUAUGUUUCUUGAUUAUCAGGUGCAGGAGCAGAAUUAACUCUUUAUCUUUCAGGGGGAGAAGAUGACUGUUAAAAAGAAAAUAAACGAAUUUUUAUACAUAAAAAAAAUUAAGAGAUCAAAAUUUAAUGGUAUAAAUAAAAUUUAUAUAAAAGUUUGGGGCCACAACAGAAAUAAAAAAAUAUUUGGAGAGAGAAAUAGUAUUUUUUUCAAAAAAAAUACACUCUAACAUUUUAAUUUUCAAGAGUUUUUGGGGCCAUGGCUAGUGAUAUGCCAUCAUGUUUGUUUGAUAAAUUAUGCAAGUUAUAUUUUUCUUAAUGUGAAGAAAAAAGGUGUAAAGUUAUAUUAGAAAGGUUUCCAAUUAAAUUAUAUGUGCUUUUAUGAAUCCAAAAACAAUAAAAUUAAAAUCCAAUAAAGGUUAGCUAGUUUGAAUAAAGGUUUCAUAAUGAAAUAGGCUGUCCUUUGGUUCAUGGUUACUUUUUAAUCUUCUGUUUGGAAUCUAUAAUUUUAGGAGAAUUUAAUUUAAUUGAUUUCUUUUUUAUCAAUUAUAUAUUUGGAAUGAAAGAAUUCAUUUCUUCUCAACUUAAAAAAAAAAUCAUUUUUGAAAAAUU
RNAcentral lists this unclassified non-coding RNA (1049 nucleotides) under Hevea brasiliensis (rubber tree). Lineage: Eukaryota; Viridiplantae; Streptophyta; Magnoliopsida; Malpighiales; Euphorbiaceae. The record is from RNAcentral.